Syngnathus typhle (broad-nosed pipefish) is the source of this 2556-nucleotide long non-coding RNA. RefSeq lists it as uncharacterized. The record is from RefSeq and is a predicted model, not a curated record. The transcript is spliced from 5 exons. NCBI's taxonomy places the organism in Eukaryota, Metazoa, Chordata, Actinopteri, Syngnathiformes, Syngnathidae.
AGCAAAAUGUUUCCAGACCUCUUGGCUCGUUCCAGGUCAUCGUUGGACUGUUCCAGUUCUCGCACGUAUUUGUGGAGGUGCUCCUUGAUACUGCGCGUUUGCACCAGGUCGUCCUCCAGAACGGAUAUCUGCUUGUAGCUCUUUGUGACCAACAUUGAUAAACAAAAUAGGCAGAGUGGGUACAAUAAAGCCCAGGCAUUCACAACCAAGGCUUGUGAUGAAGAUAUUCCAGAUAUCUGGCUCCGCCUUUACCUUGAGCGACUCCACGUCGUUCUUCAGCCUAAGGUUGUCUGAUUGGAGGUCCUUCAGACGAUGCUCGGCCUGUCCCAGCUGAGCUUCCAGUUCAGCUUCCAGCUCCCUGCUGCCCUCCUGGAACUCCAGCAGCUCCUCGUGCGCCUCCUGGUAGCUGCCGGCCGACAAUAGAGAGGACAGACAAAGAGAAAGAUGUCACGCUAAAAAGAACAUUCUGAUGAACGAAGAAGGCGCAUCUGAAAAUGGAAUCUGCUGGUGUGAUGCAUCUGUCACAUCAGCAAGAAUAUAAAGCCUGCUCUCCUCAACUGACAAGAACCAACGCACGGCAGACAUCAUGACAGGUCACCUGGUGGCGCUAGUGUGGAAAGCGCCGUUCGACAUGCAGAAGAAGAAGUUUGCCUUGGCUCGGUGGACGUGACGUCAGACCCAGGGCGUUAUUGAAUACAGGUGAAGCAAGAUGGUCCCCGACUGCGUGGCAUUCUCUCAGGAUUUUCGCACUCAAUGGACGUAACUGCGUUUGAGGUUUGAGCGCACUUGCCUUUGCAUCAUUUUGCAGUGUUUCAAAAGGUUUUCGUUCGUUUUAAUGCUGGGCAGCUCUUCUUCGUUUCUUUCAUUUUUACCUCGUAAAUGAGACUUCUUUUACUUCGGGGUUGAACUAUAAAUGUUUGUUUGACCUAAGUCAACAUGUUUGUUUGACUAUAGUCAAACAAAUACAAAAAUAUAACUUAUUUAUUGUGUUUUUAAUACUGUGGUAUUUCAUUUCACGUUAUGCCAACGUAUAUAUGAAUGCGAGUUUUUCCUUCUCAAAAUGAAAUCCUUUUGCUCCAAGCAUUAACCAAAACGGCGCCUGCAUUCAUUCUCAUACGUUGGAACGUUGGACCUCCAACUUGGGGAGUUCUUUGAGUUUCUGACAUUGUUUCCGUGUUUUUUUUUAACGUGGCCUAAUGAAACAAGCUUUAUUUUCUUGCCUAAUUAUUUUAGAUGACAAGUGAUUGAUCCAACUUAUAUUUAACAUCUAACUGUUCUCAUUCAGUUCAAAUAGUUCCUUUCCAUCCCAAGUUUUUGCAUGACUUUGCUCAAUGCAGUGGUCAGGCCCAAUACUGCCAUAUCACUGAUUUUCCAAUAUGUUGUGCAGCCUUGAUUGAGUGCAAACGCGCAGUGACGGCAAGCGGCCGCGCAAGCGAGACUUUUGUGCUUGUGUCUUGCAAGGUGGAAGCGAAGCUGCACAAAACGAAGACCCGGCAGACGGAGGCCCUGAGCCCCUGGAUUGGCGAGCGCAAAGGAAGAAAUCACCCCAAGAAAAGCAGUCGCCAUGUGAUGAAGAGGAAGUAGCCUGAUGCAUGGCUGGCCAGAGGGCUAGCUCACGUGGCGUCGGAGGGACUGGAGCAGUUCCUCAAAUGAAGAUGAGUACCAUCUGCCGGUCACUGAGUACGUCGACAGAAGUGAACCGCAUGCAACGGAGUGCCGGCUUUCUUUUUGCAGUUGUGCGAGGCAGAGGAAGAGUGCAAACGGAGCGGACCCGAACCUUCUGCAGACCUUCGCCCGUGACGAGCGGCCUACAUGAGGCGUAUGCAGAUGCGGCGAGGCUGGGUGGGCAAAGCAGCCAACAUUUAGGGAGAGUAUGACUUUGUUUUUCCUUUUGCACUUUCUUGCCCUCUCUCCACUUUCUCACUGGGUGUGCACACUGUCUGUCUGCAUGAUGCCUCUCUUCUAAGCGCUGUUAUUGUGCAAUAUUGUUUUAAAGUUUUUUUUUUUAAUACAUGGAGUGAACUGUAAAGUUUGUACUGUAAUUGUGUGCCUCUGUACCUGAAUUGAAUUGUGAACUGAAUUCAAGUGGUCCAUUUUCAAUAUUGGCAUGUGUAGUCUAGCUGUGCAUAUUGAGUUAAAUGACAAACUGAAAUCAUUUGAAAAAUUCUCUAUAAGGCAAUUGUGAAAUUAGUCUCAAACAAAUGGGUACAAAUAGGUAAUGUUAAAUAUGCAGUGUCAGGCCUUUUUACAGUGCAAUGAAAAGCUGAAUGUAUUCUAAAUUGUUGACAAAAGCCAAGUAGCCUGACACACAUAGAUGCAAAUGACAAGCCUGUCAAGGCGUAAAAAGUCGGCGUUGCGACCAAUGAAAUUUGUCUUUGGCAAACCUUUUUGCAACCCUGCUGUAAAAUGGCCACUGAAUUCAGAAUCUGGCUCCAUGUUGGUGCACAUUUUUUGUACGAGUAAAAGCCUUUAUUUUGUUAAAGUCCAAGUCUUUUUUUUCUUUUUGCGGUUAGAUCGUCAUGCGGGUGUUUUUGUGAAUAAAGUUAACUUUAGUGA